Molecule: ribosomal RNA, 250 nt
Filed under: uncultured prokaryote
Description: partial 16S rRNA
Rfam family: Bacterial small subunit ribosomal RNA
Source: RNAcentral
ACGUAGGUGGCGAGCGUUGUCCGGAAUCAUUGGGCGUAAAGCGCGCGCAGGCGGGUGAAUAAGUCAUCUUUAAAAGCGCUGGGCUCAACCCAGUGACGGGAGAGAAACUGUAUACCUUGAGUGUAGGAAAGGCAGGCGGAAUUCGCAGUGUAGCGGUGAAAUGCGUAGAUAUUGCGAGGAACACCAGUGGCGAAGGCGGCCUGCUGGACUGUAACUGACGCUGAGGCGCGAAAGCCUGGGGAGCAAACGG